Molecule: ribosomal RNA, 242 nt
Filed under: uncultured bacterium
Lineage: Bacteria
Description: partial 16S ribosomal RNA
Rfam family: Bacterial small subunit ribosomal RNA
Source: RNAcentral
GCGGACGGGUGAGUAACGCGUAGGAAUCUACCCAGUAGCGGGGGAUAGCCCGAGGAAACUCGGAUUAAUACCGCAUACGCCCUAAGGGGGAAAGGGGGGGAACUCUUCGGAGACCUCUCACUAUUGGAGGAGCCUGCGUUGGAUUAGCUAGUUGGUAGGGUAAAGGCCUACCAAGGCGACGAUCUAUAGCUGGUCUGAGAGGACGAUCAGCCACACUGGGACUGAGACACGGCCCAGACUCC